Long non-coding RNA from Arachis duranensis, 554 nucleotides. RefSeq lists it as uncharacterized. The transcript has 4 exons. The record is from RefSeq and is a predicted model, not a curated record. NCBI's taxonomy places the organism in Eukaryota, Viridiplantae, Streptophyta, Magnoliopsida, Fabales, Fabaceae.
UCUUCCUCACAAGCUGCUGCGACGCCAUUACAGCAAGGGAGGGAGAGGAGAUUCACAAACCCUCACCAUUCCUUCCAACUACCAUAACUUUCUCAUCCGGGCUCCGAUCGCCGCACCGUUCGCGGCCACGCGUCGGGCUCGUCGAGCUCUUCAAUUUUAUCCAAACAAAACAGGGUUCACUAGACUUGAUUUCUUGUGGGUAUUGCCCAAGGAUCAGUGGGUAAAGGUAGUGUGUAUGUGGAUGUUGAUACUUGUUGGAGGCUUGUUGGUGAUCAAGCUUGGUUUGGGGCUGUUUGAUUGAGUUUGGAGGGGCUGUAAUUUUGAGUUGUGAGGCUGCCUUGGGUGAACUAAGUGAUCGGCCAAGAUGCAGGUCGAGAGGCUCCUCGCUAGGCGUCUGGAUUCUGGAAAGCGAAGUAGUUCUUGGGUGUAUUUUGGUUUCUAUUUGUAUAUAUGUAUAUAUAUAUGUAGCUCACUCUCCAAGUAACUUAUGUAUGCUGCUCCUCUUAGAGGUUGAGGGAGAGAUAGGAGUUUACUUUGGUAUUUUGGUAUAUUUU